Molecule: ribosomal RNA, 279 nt
Filed under: uncultured bacterium
Lineage: Bacteria
Description: partial 16S ribosomal RNA
Rfam family: Bacterial small subunit ribosomal RNA
Source: RNAcentral
UGCCAGCAGCCGCGGUAAUACGGAGGGUCCAAGCGUUAUCCGGAUUUAUUGGGUUUAAAGGGAGCGUAGGUGGCGAGAUAAGUCAGAUGUGAAAGUUUGCGGCUCAACCGUAAAAUUGCAUUUGAUACUGUUUUGCUAGAGUAUCGGAGAGGAAAGCGGAAUUCCUGGUGUAGCGGUGAAAUGCGCAGAGAUCAGGAAGAACACCAAUGGCGAAGGCAGCUUUCUGGACGAUAACUGACACUGAGGCUCGAAAGCGUGGGGAGCGAACAGGAUUAGAUA